Molecule: ribosomal RNA, 439 nt
Filed under: uncultured bacterium
Lineage: Bacteria
Description: partial 16S ribosomal RNA
Rfam family: Bacterial small subunit ribosomal RNA
Source: RNAcentral
CUACGGGGUGCUGCAGUGAGGGAUAUUGCACAAUGGGGGGAACCCUGAUGCAGCAACGCCGCGUGGAGGAUGACGCAUUUCGGUGUGUAAACUCCUUUUAUAUGUCAAGAAAAUGACGGUAGCAUAUGAAUAAGCACCGGCUAACUCCGUGCCAGCAGCCGCGGUAAUACGGAGGGUGCAAGCGUUACUCGGAAUCACAGGGCGUAAAGGACGCGUAGGCGGGUUGGAAAGUCAGGUGUGAAAUCCUACAGCUUAACUGUAGAACUGCACUUGAAACUUCUAAUCUAGAGUAUGGGAGGGGGAGAUGGAAUUAGUGGUGUAGGGGUAAAAUCCGUAGAUAUCACUAGGAAUACCUAAAGCGAAGGCGAUCUGCUGGAACAUCACUGACGCUAAGGCGUGAAAGCGUGGGGAGCAAACAGGAUUAGAUACCCCCGUAGUC